GAUGAACGCUGGCGGCGUGCCUAAUACAUGCAAGUCGAGCGAACGGACGAGAAGCUUGCUUCUCUGAUGUUAGCGGCGGACGGGUGAGUAACACGUGGAUAACCUACCUAUAAGACUGGGAUAACUUCGGGAAACCGUAGCUAAUACCGGAUAAUAUUUUGAACCGCAUGGUUCAAAAGUGAAAGACGGUCUUGCUGUCACUUAUAGAUGGAUCCGCGCUGCAUUAGCUAGUUGGUAAGGUAACGGCUUACCAAGGCAACGAUGCAUAGCCGACCUGAGAGGGUGAUAGGCCACACUGGAACUGAGACACGGUCCAGACUCCUACGAGAGGCAGCAGUAGGGAAUCUUCCGCAAUGGGCGGAAGCCUGACGGAGCAACGCCGCGUGAGUGAUGAAGGUCUUCGGAUCGUAAAACUCUGUUAUUAGGGAAAAACAUAUGUGUAAGUAACUGUGCACAUCUUGACGGUACCUAAUCAGAAAGCCACGGCUAACUACGUG
RNAcentral lists this ribosomal RNA (497 nucleotides) under uncultured bacterium. RNAcentral describes it as "partial 16S ribosomal RNA". It matches the Rfam family "Bacterial small subunit ribosomal RNA", at positions 28 to 507 of the family's 1533-position model. The record is from RNAcentral.